AAUGAACGUUGGCGGCGUGGAUUAGGCAUGCAAGUCGUACGGGUCGGUGUAGCAAUACAACGGCAAGUGGCGAAAGGGAGAGUAACGCGUAGAUACCUACCCUCUGGUCGGGGAUACCGCGGCAUAACCGCAAGUAAUACCCGAUAAUAUCUCCGGAUCAAAGGUGUGAUUCCGCCGGAGGAGGGGUCUGCGUUUCAUCAGCUUGUUGGUGAGGUAACGGCUCACCAAGGCUAAGACGAAUACGGGGUGUGAGAGCAUGCCCCCGCUCACUGGGACUGAGACACUGCCCGGACACCUACGGGUGGCUGCAGUCGGGAAUCUUCGGCAAUGGGCGCAAGCCUGACCGAGCGACGCCGCGUGCGGGAUGAAGGCCUUCGGGUCGUAAACCGCUGUCGAGGGGGAUAAAGUGCAGGUGGGUUCUCCCAUUUGUUUGAUAGAUCCCUGGAGGAAGCAUGGGCUAAGUUCGUGCCAGCCGCCGCCGUAA
RNAcentral lists this ribosomal RNA (484 nucleotides) under uncultured bacterium. Its description in RNAcentral is "partial 16S ribosomal RNA". It matches the Rfam family "Bacterial small subunit ribosomal RNA", at positions 29 to 523 of the family's 1533-position model. The record is from RNAcentral.